UACGUAGGGUGCAAGCGUUGUCCGGAAUUAUUGGGCGUAAAGAGCUCGUAGGCGGUCUGUCGCGUCGGCUGUGAAAACCCGGGGCUCAACCCCGGGCCUGCAGCCGAUACGGGCAGACUAGAGUUCGGCAGGGGAGACUGGAAUUCCUGGUGUAGCGGUGAAAUGCGCAGAUAUCAGGAGGAGCACCGGUGGCGAAGGCGGGUCUCUGGGCCGAUACUGACGCUGAGGAGCGAAAGCGUGGGGAGCGAACAGG
Molecule: ribosomal RNA, 253 nt
Filed under: uncultured bacterium
Lineage: Bacteria
Description: partial 16S ribosomal RNA
Rfam family: Bacterial small subunit ribosomal RNA
Source: RNAcentral